RNAcentral lists this long non-coding RNA (4941 nucleotides) under Sus scrofa (pig). Its description in RNAcentral is "lncRNA (ENSSSCG00060061187.1)". Lineage: Eukaryota; Metazoa; Chordata; Mammalia; Artiodactyla; Suidae. The record is from RNAcentral.
AUGCAACAGUGCUUUUAUUGGGGGGUUCAGGGGACAUAUGACAAAGUCUCAUAAAAUGUCAACAAAGUCACAUUUUGUGCUUGGCUUGACUUAAAAAACUCUAUGAACUCACUUAAUGAGAAUUGUGUGACACAUGGCCAAUGAUCAUUUUGAAAAUAGGAUGACCUGAGCCACCAGCAGGUCCAAGUGCAACAAUGCCAAAUAUCUAACUGGAAAUUUACAACAGUUAAAUAUUCAGGUACUUUCAAACAUCUAGAAGCUUGCCCUUAAGUAAACACAGCUUAACGGACUUCAGACAAAAUUGCAUUUCAAAUUUGAGUUCUCCAGCUGACCCCUCUAUUUGGCAUGACUGAAUGCCAACUGAAGGCGAAGGGGCUGGUAAAGAAUAAGGUUUCCUCAAUUCCAGCUUUUUAUUGCUGAAGUAUUCUUGAGUUAGUCACCUGGAUAAGUGAAGGUUAAAAUAGCAAAGAACCACUGAUACCGUCAAAAACAUAAGGACUAGCGAAACAGUCGUGUUUAAAUCUUGAUGUGGAAGCUCUAAUAUAUACUGUGCAUAAAAUUGGUUCAGGAAAUGCUCAUGAGAAGAUCUGUUUAGGUGAACUGAGAAUUCCAAAUCAUUGAAGACACUGUACACAUAACUUGGGCCAUUGUAUGUUCUGUGUGGAUGGACCACUGACAAUUCCUGCAUCUAAAGAUGUCAGCCCAGAGCUAUAGCUAUUUUUCACGCUGAGGUGAGAAGCCAGAGAGGUGCAAAACUGAGCAGUCUACUAGGUUCCAUGCCGCCCCUGAUCACCCAGAUGGAAUGUUGUCAUUGAUCAAAUUCAAGCUCACACUUCUUUUAGGCAGGAUGCAGUUGUUUAUUUAAGAGCCGCUGAGGGCAUGGUUUCUGGACCUUGCUUUGCUACACGCAAAUGUGGGAUCUUCUGUAAGUCACUCUAACUUCAUGGAUUGACAACACCUGUAGAAAAGGACAUUGUAUAGAUGACCUUUAGGCUCCCCUCACUUUCUAUUUUCAUUCUCAAGAAGUGGAGAGUUCAUGCUCACCAAAAUGAAUAGUCCCAUCAAAGGCUGGACACCCACCAAAGCAGCCUAAAAUGCUGAUAAACCCCAUUUCCCCUCCAAUUUCUGUCAUGAUAAAAAUACGUUCCAUCACUUUAGUGUAAUUUAACCAGAAAACUGAAAAAUUUGAGAAGAUAAUUGUUACCAUUUACCACAGAAAAAUCUCAAGGACUAGAGAAGUGGUCAUAUUGUGAUGUUGGUCGUAGUAUUUUGACUUAGUGCUUUAGAUCAUGAGCUUUGCGAUGGCAAAUCUGAUUGUGACACCUGGAUGUGGUGGUUUGGCAAGUUACUUAACCUCAUUAAACCUCAGUUUUCUUAGUGUAAAAUGGGGAUAAAUUUUGCAGGAUUGUUGUGAGGCUUCAGAGAGUUAAUGUAUAAAAUACUCAAAAUGUAGUGAGAACUCAAUAAACAUCCAUUGUUAUCAGGCCAAGAGAAAAAUCACAAAUCCUCCUGUUAUCGCCACUCUCACGUGCUUUAAUGGAAGAAAUACAAUUAUGAUUCUAGGCGACACCUGAAGCGGGAGAGGGACAAUGUGUCCAUGAAGUCUUUACCACAUAUGUACAUACACACACACUGGCACUGAAAGUCUGGGGUGAAGGCAACUAGACAUGUGUGAUCAUAAUUCCCUAAAAUUACAUGUAGUCUUCCCGGACUUUGCUCACAACACCACAUCCAUCUAAAGGACUCGAUUUUCUCCUUCUUUUCCAUUUAUCGAAAUCUUUAACAUCUUUUAAGAUUCAUUUCCUCCUCCUUUCCGAACUUUCUUCCCUAAACGGACCAGUUUGCCCAGUUUAACGUGACCACCUCUGAGCUCCUUGUUCAUACAUCUUUUGUCUUGCUUUGGUUUUACUGUUAUUGUCUAUUGACUUGAUUUGUUACUUAUCUUGUCAAAAGCGUACAUACCUCUGCCUAACUAAACUUAAACUCUGCAGAGGCAGAACCUAGCUUGCCUGACAGAAAGCAUGGUUGAUUGGUGGUGUCACAGGGUAGUGCCUUUCCACGCUAAAUCUAGAAGUCAUUCUCAAGUGUUCCUGUUUCUUGCAAAGAUUGCCUCUUGUUCUGAGAGUCUACUGGCUGAACUGCAUCAUGUGGGUGUGUCGCUUAGCAGAAGAGGUGUCUUCAGGUGACCGAGUCCUGAUUCCUUUGUUUCAACUUCACAGUUGGCUUGAGCGUCCACCAGUACAGCGGUCUCUGCAGUCUGUGUCCUGUCACUGGGGAGACAUUCCUGAGAUGGGGGGACUAUAGGAUUGGCUGAAAGGAACAUCAACACAACUAAAAAAAUAACAGAACAUGUCACAGAAAGUUAUCACAUCGACUCUUGCACACAAAUAAAGAAAUGUAACGAUACUCUGGGGGCCAGGCUGUUUCUAACGAGACGUGAAAUGCUGCAUCACGAGAAAAACGGAGCUUGUCCUCAUUGUUCACCAUGGUCAAGACUCAGUCAAGCAAGAACACUGCUUGAAUGGGUGUGAGGGCACCCCAUUCAUGGCUCUGGAGAAGAUGCUCCGUCAGAAAAGCUUCAGGUUUACCCAACAGGCAACUUACUGAAAUAGGACACGUAGGAAAACAACAGAAGAACAGAAGACAUUAAGGACACAGUCAAAUAAAUCUAAAGACUAAACGCAAAAUAAAGGAAGUGUGGCUACAGAAGGGCUUGGCAAUGCAGGAGUGAAUGAAGUCAAGAGAAUGGCUAGAAAUCGAUGUCAGUUCCUUGUUUGUGUCUGUAUUUCCAGUGCCUGGCUCACAGCAUGACAAAGGGUGCCCACUGACAGAAUGAAAGGAGAAACAAAAGGGAGGGAAGGAAGAAAGGAAGAAGAAAGGGAGGGAGGGAGAAAGGAAGGAAUGAGGGAGGGAGGGGAAGAAGAGGAGAGACAGAGAAAGAAUGGAGGAGCAGGGAGCAAGGGAAGGAAAAGAAAGGUUUCUGACAUGUUGAAGAGGUGGAGGGGCAAGUGUGCAGAGAGAAAAGCUUGGCUGUGAGCAUCUUCAAAGAUCUGAAAGCCCGGAAGAGCAGGCUUGCUUAAUUCAAGAAGAGUUAUAUAUUCCAAGUGCUUUGAGAAAAUGGGCGGGGUAAUGUUCAAGAGGUUUUGCACAUGAUAAGAUUUAAUUUGGGAAGUGGGGUAUGUUAACGUAAGGUUGCAGGCUUUUGAAGGGGAUGUUAACAUGAUCCAAAUGCAUCAAGUGGAAAGGGGAAUAUGAAACUCAAAGAAAAUCAAACCCAACAGAAAAAAAAAAAAAAAACCAAAAGGCUAUUGCAAGCAAUUACUAAAGGCAGAAGGACUAAAGAUGAUAGUCUUAAAAUAGAAAGGCAGGUGCUUGUCUGGGAUUCUUCUAUGUUAAUGUUGAAGGAAAUGGGCUUAGAUCUCAGACCAAGAAUUUCCUUCUCCCACUGGGUAUCUUUUUUAGUUCUUCGGCUGUUCCUCUUUUCUGUCCCUGCCCUUCCUGAAAAUGAACUUCAGUCUUUACUGUUUUAGCAUCAAGGAAAAUAUGUUAGUAAACACAGCACCUGCGGGUGGAAUCAAAUAUAACUUUACAGGGCAGCUGUUGGUACAGACAGACUCCAGAGUCAAGGGUCCUGAAGUUGUUCGUCUACCUCUGUGCUCUAGAGAAGCUUCCAAAAUUUUUCGCUGUAAAAGAAUUGAGAGACCAAGUCAUCCCACCCCACUCAUUUUACACAUAAGGAUAUUUGGGAAGAGCUUUAUUAAUGUUUCUUUUAUUCUACAAAAGUUGUUAUGAAUGAGAUAUACUUUGCAGGUGGAUUUUAAAUUAAUGAAAGCCUUUAUUGUCAGCCUCUUCAUUAUGUUAGCACAAUGAAGAUGCAUAAUGAGUUAGGUGCAUCAAAGGGGAUACACUGCCACACAAGCCUCUUACUGCACUAAACACUUUGGAUACGUGUUGGUUCUCUUUCUAGAUGGCAGUAUAUCCCGAUACGUGUUGGUUCUCUUUCUAGAUGGCAGUAUAUCUAUCUAUCCAUCUAUCUGUCUUUCUUAAAACCUGUAAAAUAACCUAAUGUUAAAUAUUGUUAAUAGGUGUUUUUCCAUUCUGAUCAAGCAUGUCAUAACUGCUCCUGGACGGAUAAAUAAACCUCUUAAAGAUUUCAGAAUUUAUUAUUUCGUGAUCAUAGAAUGGGAAGGUGGGGUGCUAAGCUUUGAUACAUGUGUAUGAGGCUCACUUCUGAGUCAACUAAAGUGCUACUGUUGCAAGGAAAGAUAUUUGACACAAUUUUUGUGGGACUCCUUUGGGGAGCUAAUAACACAAAGUCCUUGUCCGCAUGAGCAGAUGAAAAGUCAGUCAACGUACUGCUUUAGCAUUGCCAAGAUAGAGCUCCUGCAAAAAUGUCUCUUUUAUAAUGUGGACCCCAUGAUCAAAAUCAAUGCUGAGGAACAAACAGUACAAAUACGCUAACCACCAAAUUCUAGGUGUCUAGUAUGAGUCAAAAGUUUAACAAAUCAGCAUUCUUUGGGGCCUCUGCCUACUUAAUCGGAAUAAAUACUAUCAUGUAUCAUCUCAACAAGAGCCUCCCUCAGAAUCCUUUCUAUCUCCUGGAUGUAUAAGUGUAAAUCGGGUGCCUUGCAUCGCUGUGCUCAGGGUCCCUCUGUGAUCUGAUGGUAAUGAUUCUCCAAAUUUGCAUCAAGACCAUCUCCACCUACUGAGCACAGAGCAAGUGCCAAGUGCCACGCUGACCAAUCAACUCGUUGUUGCUCUGCCUGGGUUUUUCCUCCAUAGCUAGAUCUUCAGGGGUCAGCUCCUCGGGGAGGGGGGUCUCCAGCCCAGGAGACACCAAAAGGGAAGGUGAUGUUAGUGCACUGAGGACCUGAGGCAGAGUUUCAGCUAUUCAUCAUGUGUGCCGUGCAAAAUGGAGGAAAAAUAGAAAAGUUGUUUGUU